RNAcentral lists this ribosomal RNA (253 nucleotides) under uncultured bacterium. RNAcentral's name for it is "partial 16S ribosomal RNA". It matches the Rfam family "Bacterial small subunit ribosomal RNA", at positions 524 to 776 of the family's 1533-position model. The record is from RNAcentral.
UACGUAGGGGGCUAGCGUUGUCCGGAUUUAUUGGGCGUAAAGAGCGUGUAGGCGGCCUGGUAGGUCUGCUGUGAAAACUCGAGGCUCAACCUCGAGAUGUCGGCGGAAACCGUAAAGCUAGAGUCCGGAAGAGGAGAGUGGAAUUCCUGGUGUAGCGGUGAAAUGCGCAGAUAUCAGGAAGAACACCCGUGGCGAAGGCGGCUCUCUGGGACGGUACUGACGCUGAGACGCGAAAGCGUGGGGAGCGAACAGG